CAUUAUGUCGUAAUCUCGUCGGAUUGAAGAUCCAUUCAUCUGCGUCCAAAAUUGUCUUCCUAGUUUCGUUCAGAGACUCGAGAAGUGGAUUCGCAGCUCCAGUCUUUCUUGAUUGGGCUAAGAUGUCGGCUUUUGAUAAUGUUGUUGGUGGGAAGCUGAAACUUAAGGGAAAAGCCUUGAAUGUAAAGCCUGGUGGAAUGAAGAGGAAAAAGAAACAUAAGAAACACAAUGAUCAAGUUUCUCAAGUCUUGGAAAACGAGCUUUCUGCAGGCCAAAACACAGAAGAGUUAACUGUCAAUGGUGAGGAUGUAGCUAACGACAGUGGCAAAUUGAGCGAAGCAGGGAAGGCUGCUCUUUACGAUGAUCAUCUGACAGCUGCAGAGAGACG
RNAcentral lists this unclassified non-coding RNA (388 nucleotides) under Hevea brasiliensis (rubber tree). The record is from RNAcentral. Lineage: Eukaryota; Viridiplantae; Streptophyta; Magnoliopsida; Malpighiales; Euphorbiaceae.